UUUCUAUUGUAUGAUCCUGAUUUUCCUAUUAUUUUAUUGUUUGAGCAUGAAUUUUGCUUUCUAUUUUCUAAUUCUUCAUACCAGUUCCAACCAUGGCGAACACACUUGUCACUAAGGCUAUGAGUUCUUAAGGUAUCUCAGGGUUUAUGUUCAAGGAAAUAAGUAGAGAAGAAUCAAUAUAUGGUUUGUGGAUAUUAUGUAAUUGUAGAUUUGUACUUUGUAGGAUAUUUCAGUUUUGUGGAUAUAUGUUAUUGUAAUUAAUUUUGUGAAACUAAUUGUAUGUUAUAUAAGACAAUUAAUUAAAAGUAAA
This is a non-coding RNA of Benincasa hispida (wax gourd), 310 nucleotides long. The record is from RefSeq and is a predicted model, not a curated record. Lineage: Eukaryota; Viridiplantae; Streptophyta; Magnoliopsida; Cucurbitales; Cucurbitaceae.